Molecule: ribosomal RNA, 253 nt
Filed under: uncultured bacterium
Lineage: Bacteria
Description: partial 16S ribosomal RNA
Rfam family: Bacterial small subunit ribosomal RNA
Source: RNAcentral
UACAGAGGUCUCAAGCGUUGUUCGGAUUCAUUGGGCGUAAAGGGUGCGUAGGCGGCGCGGUAAGUCGGGUGUGAAAUCUCGGAGCUUAACUCCGAAACUGCAUUCGAUACUGCCGUGCUUGAGGACUGGAGAGGAGACUGGAAUUUACGGUGUAGCGGUGAAAUGCGUAGAUAUCGUAAGGAAGACCAGUGGCGAAGGCGGGUCUCUGGACAGUUCCUGACGCUGAGGAGCGAAAGCGUGGGGAGCGAACAGG